RNAcentral lists this ribosomal RNA (396 nucleotides) under uncultured bacterium. RNAcentral describes it as "bacterial SSU rRNA". It matches the Rfam family "Bacterial small subunit ribosomal RNA", at positions 30 to 430 of the family's 1533-position model. The record is from RNAcentral.
AUUGAACGCUGGCGGCAUGCCUUACACAUGCAAGUCGAACGGCAGCGGACCUUCGGGUGCCGGCGAGUGGCGAACGGGUGAGUAAUAUAUCGGAACGUACCUUUCAGUGGGGGAUAACGUAGCGAAAGUUACGCUAAUACCGCAUAUUCUGUGAGCAGGAAAGCAGGGGAUCGCAAGACCUUGCGCUGAUUGAGCGGCCGAUAUCAGAUUAGCUAGUUGGUGAGGUAAAGGCUCACCAAGGCGACGAUCUGUAGCGGGUCUGAGAGGAUGAUCCGCCACACUGGAACUGAGACACGGUCCAGGCUCCUACGGGAGGCAGCAGUGGGGAAUUUUGGACAAUGGGCGCAAGCCUGAUCCAGCCAUGCCGCGUGAGUGAAGAAGGCCUCGGUUGGUAAG